UACGAAGGGGCUAGCGUUGUUCGGAAUUACUGGGCGUAAAGCGCACGUAGGCGGAUAUUUAAGUCAGGGGUGAAAUCCCGGGGCUCAACCCCGGAACUGCCUUUGAUACUGGGUAUCUCGAGUCCGAGAGAGGUGAGUGGAAUUCCGAGUGUAGAGGUGAAAUUCGUAGAUAUUCGGAGGAACACCAGUGGCGAAGGCGGCUCACUGGCCCGGUACUGACGCUGAGGUGCGAAAGCGUGGGGAGCAAACAGG
Molecule: ribosomal RNA, 252 nt
Filed under: uncultured bacterium
Lineage: Bacteria
Description: partial 16S ribosomal RNA
Rfam family: Bacterial small subunit ribosomal RNA
Source: RNAcentral